GGAAGUCGACUUUCCUUACGAGGACGGUCGAGGCCUGCCGGGAUACCCCAGGACGGCCGGAUCGGCGCUGGGCGUGGCUUCUGACGCCCGCGGCACGCCGGGAAGGAGUUACUUCCAGACGCGGGUUCCGGUUCCGUUGGCGGUGGCCGAUUGUUAAGGUAACGCGGCCGGUAGUUCUGCGAUGGCAAGGAGCGGAGAAGUGACGGGCCUUCGCGCCUCACCAGCGGAGCUGAGCCUCGAACCUGGCGUGUCCGGCCCUGCUCGAGACUCCGAUCUCGAACUCGGCUUCAUGUCCAGGCCAGCCUGGGCUCCAGCCUCGGACCCGCCGUGCACGUGGACGGCCAAGCCGUGCCUGUUUCGCGUGGAAUUCCUUCUCUAGAAUGAUUUUUAGCAUAAAAAUCUAAUUAUUAUGUGUACGUAUGAUGUAGUGCAUGCACCUGCCACAGCGUGGGCGAGUCGGGUCCCUACUUUGCCUUUUACGAGGGGUCCAGGGACGAGAACUCGGGCUUGCCGGACACUGUGAUCCCAGGCUGCAAACAAGAACAUAGACAAGAAAUGCUGGAAGGCGCAGCUGCUCCGAAAGUCAGUCUGUGCCCUCGGCAGCAGAGAGUCUGUUAAAUUGCAUCCAGAAUUGGCAAGCUUUUAUUCAUGCUUGCAUUGCCGUAAGUAGUUGUACUUUAAAAGAUGAAAUAAAGACUGGCAGAUGUGCUCAUGG
Molecule: long non-coding RNA, 715 nt
Organism: Myodes glareolus (Bank vole)
Lineage: Eukaryota; Metazoa; Chordata; Mammalia; Rodentia; Cricetidae
Source: RefSeq, a predicted model, not a curated record